This 464-nucleotide ribosomal RNA is filed under the name uncultured bacterium. RNAcentral's name for it is "bacterial SSU rRNA". It matches the Rfam family "Bacterial small subunit ribosomal RNA", at positions 28 to 508 of the family's 1533-position model. The record is from RNAcentral.
GACGAACGCUGGCGGCGUGCUUAACACAUGCAAGUCGAGCGGAAAGGCCACUUCGGUGGUACUCGAGCGGCGAACGGGUGAGUAACACGUGAGUAAUCUGCCCCUGGCUUUGGGAUAGCCACCGGAAACGGUGAUUAAUACCGGAUAUGACAGCUUCUCGCAUGAGUGGUUGUGGAAAGUUUUUCGGCCAGGGAUGUGCUCGCGGCCUAUCAGCUUGAUGGUGAGGUAAUGGCUCACCAUGGCUUCGACGGGUAGCCGGCCUGAGAGGGUGACCGGCCACACUGGGACUGAGACACGGCCCAGACUCCUACGGGAGGCAGCAGUGGGGAAUAUUGGACAAUGGGCGGAAGCCUGAUCCAGCAACGCCGCGUGAGGGAUGACGGCCUUCGGGUUGUAAACCUCUUUCAGCAGGGACGAAGCGCAAGUGACGGUACCUGCAGAAGAAGCACCGGCCAACUACGUGC